UCAAAAGACAAACAAAUACCUGAUGAAGAAAUCUAUUUCAUGUGCUCUACAGAAGUGUGUUUACCAGCAGAUAGGCCAUGUGAACAACGGUGCUUUGAUGGAAAGGCACCAUAAGGAUGCUGCAGAAGACUUAAGGAGGGGGGGGGGGAAUAAA
Long non-coding RNA from Micropterus salmoides (largemouth bass), 154 nucleotides. RefSeq lists it as uncharacterized. The transcript has 3 exons. NCBI's taxonomy places the organism in Eukaryota, Metazoa, Chordata, Actinopteri, Centrarchiformes, Centrarchidae. The record is from RefSeq and is a predicted model, not a curated record.